Molecule: small nuclear RNA, 110 nt
Filed under: Catagonus wagneri (Chacoan peccary)
Lineage: Eukaryota; Metazoa; Chordata; Mammalia; Artiodactyla; Tayassuidae
Source: RNAcentral
UUAUAUACGUGAGUGGAUUAAAAGAGCUUGUUUUGGAAUGAUACAGAGAUACAAAGAUUAGCAUGGCCCCUGUACAGGGAUGACAAAUUUGUAAAGCAUUCCAAAUUUUU